GACGAACGCUGGCGGCGUGCUUAACACAUGCAAGUCGAACGGAAAGGCCCUGCUUUUGUGGGGUGCUCGAGUGGCGAACGGGUGAGUAACACGUGAGUAACCUGCCCUUGACUUUGGGAUAACUUCAGGAAACUGGGGCUAAUACCGGAUAGGAGCUCCUGCUGCAUGGAGGGGGUUGGAAAGUUUCGGCGGUUGGGGAUGGACUCGCGGCUUAUCAGCUUGUUGGUGGGGUAGUGGCUUACCAAGGCUUUGACGGGUAGCCGGCCUGAGAGGGUGACCGGCCACAUUGGGACUGAGAUACGGCCCAGACUCCUACGGGGGGCAGCAGUGGGGAAUAUUGCACAAUGGGCGGAAGCCUGAUGCAGCAACGCCGCGUGCGGGAUGACGGCCUUCGGGUUGUAAACCGCUUUCGCCUGUGACGAAGCGUGAGUGACGGUAAUGAGUAAAGAAGCACCGGCUAACUACGUG
RNAcentral lists this ribosomal RNA (468 nucleotides) under uncultured bacterium. Its description in RNAcentral is "partial 16S ribosomal RNA". It matches the Rfam family "Bacterial small subunit ribosomal RNA", at positions 28 to 507 of the family's 1533-position model. The record is from RNAcentral.